This is a long non-coding RNA of Cryptomeria japonica (Japanese cedar), 1189 nucleotides long. RefSeq lists it as uncharacterized. The transcript is spliced from 9 exons. NCBI's taxonomy places the organism in Eukaryota, Viridiplantae, Streptophyta, Pinopsida, Cupressales, Cupressaceae. The record is from RefSeq and is a predicted model, not a curated record.
UGAAGAGAUUAAGCGUCUCAGGACAACAGGAAAAGCUUUAAACUUCACUGCUAAAUAUCUUGAAACCCUAGAUAUCUAGGAAGAUUUGCAAGCCAAUCUGCUGCAAACGAAAUUGACAGUGAUUUAAAACGGCCCGAGAAAAACGCGAUCAAAGGCGAAAAAAACGUGUACAAAAAAUCCAACGGAUGGCCGCAUUGCAAUCUCUUUCCAUACAUGUGGUUCGUGGAUUCAAAAGCCUGAAACUAAACUAGCCGUUGUGUGUUCUAGAAUGUUUGCAAUAGUUGGCAAAUUCAAAUUUCAAAUUUCAUGGAGCGUGCAAAAGUAUGAUUAUAUAUAACCCUCAGCAUUUGCAGACCAGAGGAUGAAGAGGCAAAGCAUAGGAAAAAGCAGGGAUCAGGAAAUAGAAAUUGAAUGAGGGCAAACUUCUUUUUGCAGUUGAUCACGGCACUCACUGGCAAUGGAUUCAUGGGUAGGUCCAUUUCUAAGAGGAAGCCUUGCUAAGCAGGGAAAAAGUUUUUGGGUUGGGACGUCUUAAUUCUAGAGAAGCUGCAGUCAUUGAAGUUGACGUGUUUGGUGACAUUGACAUGAAUGAUUAAAAAUGGGACCUGGCAUGGGACACAAAAUCCGGUGGGAGUUCAUAGAACCGAUGCAGAGAAGAAGAGAUGGGAAGCUCAUAUGUUUGAUCUUAGACAACCUUCUUGCAUCCUCUUCACUCCAUGGAUUGGUUUUAUUGGGGGUUCACUGACCUCAUAACACAUACAGCUGCAACACCCUAUUGGGCUUCUGGGAUACGAUUUUUCUUGGUUUCAGGCUAGCAGAUUUUGUAAAGUAGAGAACGAAAUAUGUGUAAUACAGAGAAGCUACAGUCAUUGAAGUUUACGAGGUUGACAUGAAUGAUUAAAAUUGAACCUGGGUGGCAUAUAGCAAGCUCACAUGAAUGGGUGGCAACAUGUUGCAGCCAAAAAAAUUGCAGUUUGAUAAGAAGGAUCUUGAGUAGCUUUUUGAAUUAGUUGUUUUUCAUGAUGGUGUAUACAAAAUAGCAAGAGAUGGAACUAGGCUUGCAUCAUUUCUUUAGUUAUGUUUUGGUCAAGCAUAUUGACUUGAUAGCAUUGUAACAUGUACAAAUAUAAUGUUUAAUAAAAAAAGUUAUUGGAUUGGAAGGGGUUAAAAACUCCUUCCAAAGACCGAA